AGUGAACGCUGGCGGUAGGCCUAACACAUGCAAGUCGAACGGCAGCACAGUAAGAGCUUGCUCUUACGGGUGGCGAGUGGCGGACGGGUGAGGAAUACAUCGGAAUCUACUUUUUCGUGGGGGAUAACGUAGGGAAACUUACGCUAAUACCGCAUACGACCUACGGGUGAAAGCAGGGGAUCUUCGGACCUUGCGCGAUUGAAUGAGCCGAUGUCGGAUUAGCUAGUUGGCGGGGUAAAGGCCCACCAAGGCGACGAUCCGUAGCUGGUCUGAGAGGAUGAUCAGCCAAACGGGAACUGAGACACGGUCCAGAUUCCUACGGGAGGAGGCAGUGGGGAAUAUUGGACAAUGGGGGCAAGCCUGAUCCAGCAAUCCCGCGUGGGUGAAGAAGGCUUUCGGUUUGUAAACCCUUUUUGUUGGGAAAGAAAAGCAGCAGGUUAAUACCCCGCUGUUCUGACGGUACCCAAAGAAUAAGCACCGGCUAACUUCGUG
RNAcentral lists this ribosomal RNA (492 nucleotides) under uncultured bacterium. RNAcentral describes it as "partial 16S ribosomal RNA". It matches the Rfam family "Bacterial small subunit ribosomal RNA", at positions 29 to 507 of the family's 1533-position model. The record is from RNAcentral.